Non-coding RNA from Acanthosepion pharaonis, 92 nucleotides. The record is from the annotation of a GenBank genome assembly. NCBI's taxonomy places the organism in Eukaryota, Metazoa, Mollusca, Cephalopoda, Sepiida, Sepiidae.
AACUGGUUCUCAUAUGAUCACCAAAGUUAAGCAAGAUUGAGCCUGGUCUGUACCUAGAUGGGUGACAACUUGGGAAUAUCAGGUGCUGUAAG